UAGGGAAUCUUCCACAAUGGACGCAAGUCUGAUGGAGCAACGCCGCGUGAGUGAAGAAGGUUUUCGGAUCGUAAAGCUCUAUUGUUGGUGAAGAAGGAUAGAGGCAGUAACUGGUCUUUAUUUGACGGUAAUCAACCAGAAAGUCACGGCUAACUACGUGCCAGCAGCCGCGGUAAUACGUAGGUGGCAAGCGUUGUCCGGAUUUAUUGGGCGUAAAGCGAGCGCAGGCGGAAUGAUAAGUCUAAUGUGAAAGCCCACGGCUCAACCGUGGAACUGCAUCGGAAACUGUCAUUCUGAGUGCAGAAGAGGAGAGUGGAAUUCCAUGUGUAGCGGUGGAAUGCGUAGAUAUAUGGAAGAACACCAGUGGCGAAGGCGGCUCUCUGGUCUGCAACUGACGCUGAGGCUCGAAAGCAUGGGUAGCGAACAGG
RNAcentral lists this ribosomal RNA (428 nucleotides) under bacterium. RNAcentral's name for it is "partial 16S ribosomal RNA". It matches the Rfam family "Bacterial small subunit ribosomal RNA", at positions 355 to 776 of the family's 1533-position model. The record is from RNAcentral.